Molecule: non-coding RNA, 73 nt
Organism: Aedes albopictus (Asian tiger mosquito)
Lineage: Eukaryota; Metazoa; Arthropoda; Insecta; Diptera; Culicidae
Source: Rfam
UGUGCUGUGGCUUAGUUGGUUUAAGCGCCAUUCUAGCAAUACGGAGUCGUGAGUUCGAAUCCCACCAAAACAA